UACGUAGGCAGCAAGCGUUGUUCGGAGUUACUGGGCGUAAAGGGUGUGUAGGCGGCCUGUUAAGUUCCGUGUGAAAUCUCCCGGCUCAACCGGGAGGGUGCGCGGAAAACUGGCGGGCUAGAGUGCGGGAUGGGAGAGUAGAAUUCCUGGUGUAGCGGUGAAAUGCGUAGAUAUCAGGAGGAAUACCGGUGGUGUAGACGGCUCUCUGGACCGCAACUGACGCUGAGGUGCGAAAGCCAGGGGAGCGAACGGG
Molecule: ribosomal RNA, 253 nt
Filed under: uncultured bacterium
Lineage: Bacteria
Description: partial 16S ribosomal RNA
Rfam family: Bacterial small subunit ribosomal RNA
Source: RNAcentral